RNAcentral lists this ribosomal RNA (253 nucleotides) under uncultured bacterium. RNAcentral describes it as "partial 16S ribosomal RNA". It matches the Rfam family "Bacterial small subunit ribosomal RNA", at positions 524 to 776 of the family's 1533-position model. The record is from RNAcentral.
UACGGGGGGGGCAAGCGUUGUUCGGAAUUACUGGGCGUAAAGGGCUCGUAGGCGGUCAACUAAGUCGGAUGUGAAAUCCCCAGGCUUAACCUGGGAACUGCAUCCGAUACUGGAUGGCUUGAAUCCGGGAGAGGGAUGCAGAAUUCCAGGUGUAGCGGUGAAAUGCGUAGAUAUCUGGAGGAAUACCGGUGGCGAAGGCGGCAUCCUGGACCGGCAUUGACGCUGAUGAGCGAAAGCCAGGGGAGCAAACGGG